GAUAGGCUGGGUGUGUAAGCGUAGCGAUACGUUGAGCUAACCAGUACUAAUGACCCGAGAGGCUUAACCUUACAACACCGAAGGUGUUUUAG
Molecule: ribosomal RNA, 92 nt
Filed under: Lonsdalea populi
Lineage: Bacteria; Pseudomonadati; Pseudomonadota; Gammaproteobacteria; Enterobacterales; Pectobacteriaceae
Description: partial 23S ribosomal RNA
Source: RNAcentral